CAAGAUUAGACAGGACUUAUUCAACAAUUAACGUCAUCAUCUUCAUUGUUAAAAGAAUUUUACGACCCACAGGCCUUCAUCAUUCACGCAAUAUCACUGGAUCAAAGUUUCCUUCAUUGUCCAAAAUUCCUCC
Molecule: ribosomal RNA, 133 nt
Filed under: uncultured bacterium
Lineage: Bacteria
Description: partial 16S ribosomal RNA
Source: RNAcentral